This 458-nucleotide ribosomal RNA is filed under the name uncultured bacterium. RNAcentral describes it as "partial 16S ribosomal RNA". It matches the Rfam family "Bacterial small subunit ribosomal RNA", at positions 28 to 523 of the family's 1533-position model. The record is from RNAcentral.
GAUGAACGCUGGCGGCGUGCCUAAUACAUGCAAGUCGAGCGGUAAGGCCACUUCGGUGGUACACGAGCGGCGGACGGCUGAGUAACACGUAGGAACGUACCCCAAACUGAGGGAUAAGCACCGGAAACGGUGUCUAAUACCGCAUGUGCUCUUCGGAGUAAAGCUACGGCGGUUUGGGAACGGCCUGCGCAUGAUUAGCUAGUUGGUGAGGUAAUGGCUCACCAAGGCGACGAUCAUUAGCUGGUCUGAGAGGAUGAUCAGCCAGACUGGGACUGAGAAUGGCCCAGACUCCUACGGGAGGCAGCAGUAGGGAAUUUUCCACAAUGGGGGCAACCCUGAUGGAGCAACGCCGCGUGCAGGAUGAAGGCUUUCGGGUCGUAAACUGCUUUUAUCUGUGAAGAUUAUGACGGUAGCAGAUGAAUAAGGAUCGGCUAACUCCGUGCCAGCCGCCGCGGUAA